GGCUGCGACGGAUCCGUGCUGCUGGACGAGACUCCCGCCGACGGGACCGACACCGAGAAGAAGGCGGGCAAGAGCAUAGGCCUGGGCGGCUUCGACGUGAUCGACAGGAUCAAGGCAGAGCUCCUCCGGUCCGGCGACGACGCGUCGUGCGCCGACAUCUUGGCCUUCGCGGCACGCGACGCGGUCGGCGUCCUCAGCGGCGGACGGAUCAGGUACCCGGUGCGCCGCGGCCGCGGGGACGGCGUGACGUCGUCGUCCGCCGCCGCCGACGCGGCGCUCCCGUCACACACGCCGUCCGGCGGCUUCUCCGAGCUGGAGGCCAACUUCGCCGCCAGGGGCUUCGGCAAGGGCGACCUCGCCGCGCUCUGCGGCGCGCACGCGGUCGGCGUCUCACACGCAGCCUCCUUCGCCGAUCGCCUCGCCCCGUCGGUCGCCGCCGCCGGACAGAUCAACGGCACGUACCGGCUAGCCCUCGCCUCGCGGCAGGAGCUGCUGCCGCUGACGCUGAAUUAUUCGACGGCGACGUCGGAGAGCAUGAGCAUGAGCAACAACGUCCGCGACACGGAGCCGGCGUUCCGGGCGGCGUCCAGCUACAGCGGCGUCGGGGUGGACACGGCGGCCAGGGGCGCCCUGGACAACAGCUACUACACGGCCAACCUGCAGAACAUGGUGCUGCUCAAGUCCGACUGGGAGCUCACCCAGGACGAGCACACCCUGGGUCGUCUGGUGCAGUACAGGGACGACGCGGACAGAUGGAGCGAGGACUUCGGCAAGGCCAUGGAAAAGCUCAGCGACCUGGGGCCUCCCGUCGGGGCGCGCCUCGAGAUCAGGAAGAAGUGCAGGCUCACCAACCCGAGUCCUCGACAAGCACUUGUGCGCGCGCUGAAGCAUUUCUUACAAAGACGCCACGACCAGAUAUCUUGUUUGCUAAAACUUUUCAAUGCAGGGUUGGUGUUAGUCCUGUAAGUCUGGGCCGUGCCUAUUGGGCCAGCACGAGCCCGGCACGUUUUUAAAAGCACGAAGCCCGGCCCAGCACGGGAGAAGAAUAGUCGGGCCGGCACGGCACGUUCAUCGUGCUGGGCCGUGCUUUUGCUUUCGGCCCGACGGCCCACAUGACCCGGCACGGGAGCUUGGGCCGUGCCCGGAUCGGCCCGGCACGAAAUUCAG
Molecule: unclassified non-coding RNA, 1167 nt
Filed under: Zea mays
Lineage: Eukaryota; Viridiplantae; Streptophyta; Magnoliopsida; Poales; Poaceae
Description: misc RNA Zm00001eb417260
Source: RNAcentral